RNAcentral lists this ribosomal RNA (497 nucleotides) under uncultured bacterium. RNAcentral's name for it is "partial 16S ribosomal RNA". It matches the Rfam family "Bacterial small subunit ribosomal RNA", at positions 28 to 507 of the family's 1533-position model. The record is from RNAcentral.
GAUGAACGCUGGCGGCGUGCCUAAUACAUGCAAGUCGAGCGAACAGAUGAGGAGCUUGCUCCUUUGACGUUAGCGGCGGACGGGUGAGUAACACGUGGGUAACCUACCUAUAAGACUGGGAUAACUUCGGGAAACCGGAGCUAAUACCGGAUAAUAUUUCGAACCGCAUGGUUCGAUAGUGAAAGAUGGCUUUGCUAUCACUUAUAGAUGGACCUGCGCCGUAUUAGCUAGUUGGUAAGGUAACGGCUUACCAAGGCAACGAUACGUAGCCGACCUGAGAGGGUGAUCGGCCACACUGGAACUGAGACACGGUCCAGACUCCUACGGGAGGCAGCAGUAGGGAAUCUUCCGCAAUGGGCGAAAGCCUGACGGAGCAACGCCGCGUGAGUGAUGAAGGUCUUCGGAUCGUAAAACUCUGUUAUUAGGGAAGAACAAACGUGUAAGUAACUGUGCACGUCUUGACGGUACCUAAUCAGAAAGCCACGGCUAACUACGUG